UGGGGAAUAUUGGACAAUGGGCGCAAGCCUGAUCCAGCCAUGCCGCGUGAGUGAUGAAGGCCUUAGGGUUGUAAGCUCUUUCGACCGGGACGACCCGUUGGCUAACAUCCAGCGGCUUGACGGUACCGGGAGAAGAAGCACCGGCUAACUCU
This 152-nucleotide ribosomal RNA is filed under the name uncultured bacterium. RNAcentral describes it as "partial 16S ribosomal RNA". It matches the Rfam family "Bacterial small subunit ribosomal RNA", at positions 355 to 504 of the family's 1533-position model. The record is from RNAcentral.